RNAcentral lists this ribosomal RNA (453 nucleotides) under uncultured bacterium. Its description in RNAcentral is "bacterial SSU rRNA". It matches the Rfam family "Bacterial small subunit ribosomal RNA", at positions 88 to 560 of the family's 1533-position model. The record is from RNAcentral.
AUUGCUAGCGGCGGACGGGUGCGUAACACGUGGGUAACCUGCCCCUAUCACUGGGAUAACACACUGAAAAGUGUGCUAAUACCAGAUAACAUAAGCUUUUGGCAUCAUUAGCUUAUCAAAGAAUUUCGGAUAGGGAUGGGCCCGCGUCUGAUUAGCUAGUUGGUGAGGUAACGGCUCACCAAGGCAACGAUCAGUAGCCGACCUGAGAGGGUGAUCGGCCACACUGGAACUGAGACACGGUCCAGACUCCUACGGGAGGCAGCAGUGGGGAAUAUUGCACAAUGGGCGAAAGCCUGAUGCAGCAACGCCGCGUGAGCGAUGAAGGCCUUCGGGUCGUAAAGCUCUGUCCUAUGGGAAGAUAAUGACGGUACCAUAGGAGGAAGCCCCGGCUAACUACGUGCCAGCAGCCGCGGUAAUACGUAGGGGGCAAGCGUUAUCCGGAAUUACUGGGCG